RNAcentral lists this unclassified non-coding RNA (1368 nucleotides) under Daphnia pulex (common water flea). RNAcentral describes it as "rISC-loading complex subunit TARBP2-like, transcript variant X1". Lineage: Eukaryota; Metazoa; Arthropoda; Branchiopoda; Diplostraca; Daphniidae. The record is from RNAcentral.
AAAGACUUUUGUCAGUGUGUUUCAUGAGCUUUGUACAAAAUUUGACUUUGGAGUAGCCAUGUAUAACUUGGUGGCUGAGCAAGGCGAACCCCACAGUCGAACUUUCUUGAUGAAUUUGACUGUAGACAUGUUGGGUAUUUCAGUUGAAGGCAUUGGCUUAACCAAGAUGCAAGCAAAGCAUGAUGCUGCCUAUAAAAUGAUGCUUCAAAUCAGGGAGACUUAUCGAGCCGAUGGAACUCUCAACAAUGUCCCCAGAGUAAAACUCGUGAACUGCUGUGAAUGGCUGGAAAAAUGUGGAACACUAAAGGAAGACAUACCCAAACCACCAACAGAACCAACUCUAAAUCCAUCUGGGGUUCUCACAGAAUGGUGUUUGACCAGACACAGCAGUCUUCCUGAUUACAGGGUUGUUCGAACUUCAGGUCCUUCUCACUCCAAAACAUAUUUUAUGACUUGCAAGCUUGGGGAUCGUAUCACUGAAGGUGAGGGAAAGUCAAAGAAGGCUGCCAAAAAUGUCGCUGCCGGAAAAAUGCUCCAGAUACUUUAAGACGAAGAGUUGUAAUAGCUAUUCCGAGAAACGUGAUUUCAUAAGUGCACGCUGGAUAUGGAAAACGAUAUGAACUUGUAAAAAUUUGUCCCGUUCAGUUCUUGCAGGGCCUACACAUUUUCGCUGUAGUAGAGAUUUCGAUUUCUACGUAUGUACUUUCUGUUUUCCCGCAAAGAAGCUUUCGCUUUCGAAUUCAACAGUUAUUAUUGACUACCAUACUGGCCAAGAACAAAGAUCAAGAAACCUGCGGCAAUUAUUUGUAACAUACCUUUCUACUCGCCACCGCCUUAUUGUACAGUGCCUGGAGCUCUCUGUAAGGCUUUCACGCUGUCUAGAAAAAUUCGUAUAAAAUGGGUUCCUCCAAGCGCGAAUGCAAGUCAGUGCGCUCACCAUUGCCAUGCUGUUCUCAUGGCUAGUUUCAGUUUUGUUGGCAAUCCUUCACGCUGUAGCGUGGUGUGGCCUCUUGGCGUUUAUUUGUCUCGUCUUUUGGUCCAACAAUAACCGAGCGUUCGCCCGUUUAGUCUUUCUCGUGUCUCCGUUAAAUGCAGUGAUGCGUCUCUAAAUUUUGCUUGAAGGACGACAAGAGUUAUACUGGAUUACUGGUCUGCAUUUAAUGUAUACGAUGUUAUAUAAUACUCGUUUACUACUUACGACGGCAAAACAUUUUGCUUACUCGUUUCUCAUCAUCAAUUAUUGUAAAUUCCUAUUGUGCUUCCACUAUCGCCGGUGUUAAUCCUACGCUACUGCUCGAAUUCGCCAGUAGCCUUUCACUGCUUGUUAUCUUCUUGUGUCUCUAAAUACAGACAAGAGUUGACCUCUCA